AUACGUAGGUGGCAAGCGUUGUCCGGAAUUACUGGGCGUAAAGGGUGCGUAGGCGGUUAUUUAAGUCAGAUGUGAAAUUCCGGGGCUCAACUUCGGAAUUGCAUUUGAAACUGGAGAGCUAGAGUGCAGGAGAGGAAAGCGGAAUUCCUAGUGUAGCGGUGAAAUGCGUAGAGAUUAGGAAGAACACCAGUGGCAAAGGCGCUUCUCUGGACUGUAACUGACGCUGAGGCUCGAAAGCGUGGGGAGC
RNAcentral lists this ribosomal RNA (247 nucleotides) under uncultured bacterium. Its description in RNAcentral is "partial 16S ribosomal RNA". It matches the Rfam family "Bacterial small subunit ribosomal RNA", at positions 523 to 769 of the family's 1533-position model. The record is from RNAcentral.